Molecule: ribosomal RNA, 784 nt
Filed under: uncultured bacterium
Lineage: Bacteria
Description: bacterial SSU rRNA
Rfam family: Bacterial small subunit ribosomal RNA
Source: RNAcentral
AGAGUUUGAUCCUGGCUCAGAACGAACGUUGGCGGCGUGGAUUAGGCAUGCAAGUCGAACGAAUCCCCUUUGGGUAACUGAAGGGGGAAAGUGGCGAAAGGGGCAGUAAGGCGUGGGUAACCUACCCCGGGGACCGGGAUAGCCUUCCUAACGGAUGGGUAAUACCGGGCGAUCUGACGGAGGGGCCUCCCUCGGUCAGGAAAUGAAUUUCGCCUCGGGAGGGGCUCACGUGCUAUUAGCUAGACGGCGGGGUAACGGCCCACCGUGGCAAAGAUGGCUAGCGGGUGUGAGAGCACGACCCGCGCCACUGGCACUGAGACACUGGCCAGACACCUACGGGUGGCUGCAGUCGAGGAUCUUCGGCAAUGGGCGCAAGCCUGACCGAGCGACGCCGCGUGCGCGAUGAAGGCCUUCGGGUUGUAAAGCGCUGUCGAGGGGGAGGAAAGCCCGCAAGGGUCUGACCUAUCCCUGGAGGAAGGACGGGCUAAGUUCGUGCCAGCAGCCGCGGUAAGACGAACCGUCCUAACGUUGUUCGGAAUCACUGGGCUUAAAGGGCGCGUAGGCGGGCCAGUCGGUCCGGGGUGAAAUCUUUCGGCUUAACCGGAAACGUGCCUCGGAUACCGCUGGUCUAGAGGGAGCUAGGGGCAUGUGGAACUUCUGGUGGAGCGGUGAAAUGCGUUGAUAUCAGAAGGAACGCCGGUGGCGAAAGCGACGUGCUGGAUCUCUACUGACGCUGAGGCGCGAAAGCCAGGGGAGCAAACGGGAUUAGAUACCCCAGUAGUCC